This 1414-nucleotide ribosomal RNA is filed under the name uncultured organism. RNAcentral describes it as "16S ribosomal RNA". It matches the Rfam family "Bacterial small subunit ribosomal RNA". The record is from RNAcentral.
ACACAUGCAAGUCGAGCGAUGAAGUUUCCUUCGGGAAACGGAUUAGCGGCGGACGGGUGAGUAACACGUGGGUAACCUGCCUCAUAGAGUGGAAUAGCCUUCCGAAAGGAAGAUUAAUACCGCAUAAUGUUGAAAGAUGGCAUCAUCAUUCAACCAAAGGAGCAAUCCGCUAUGAGAUGGACCCGCGGCGCAUUAGCUAGUUGGUGGGGUAACGGCCUACCAAGGCGACGAUGCGUAGCCGACCUGAGAGGGUGAUCGGCCACAUUGGGACUGAGACACGGCCCAGACUCCUACGGGAGGCAGCAGUGGGGAAUAUUGCACAAUGGGGGAAACCCUGAUGCAGCAACGCCGCGUGAGUGAUGAAGGUUUUCGGAUCGUAAAGCUCUGUCUUUGGGGAAGAUAAUGACGGUACCCAAGGAGGAAGCCACGGCUAACUACGUGCCAGCAGCCGCGGUAAUACGUAGGUGGCGAGCGUUAUCCGGAUUUACUGGGCGUAAAGGGAGCGUAGGCGGAUGAUUAAGUGGGAUGUGAAAUACCCGGGCUCAACUUGGGUGCUGCAUUCCAAACUGGUUAUCUAGAGUGCAGGAGAGGAGAGUGGAAUUCCUAGUGUAGCGGUGAAAUGCGUAGAGAUUAGGAAGAACACCAGUGGCGAAGGCGACUCUCUGGACUGUAACUGACGCUGAGGCUCGAAAGCGUGGGGAGCAAACAGGAUUAGAUACCCUGGUAGUCCACGCCGUAAACGAUGAACACUAGGUGUGGGGGUUUCAACACCUCCGUGCCGCCGCUAACGCAUUAAGUAUUCCGCCUGGGGAGUACGGUCGCAAGAUUAAAACUCAAAGGAAUUGACGGGGACCCGCACAAGUAGCGGAGCAUGUGGUUUAAUUCGAAGCAACGCGAAGAACCUUACCUACACUUGACAUCCCUUGCAUUACUCUUAAUCGAGGAAAUCCCUUCGGGGACAAGGUGACAGGUGGUGCAUGGUUGUCGUCAGCUCGUGUCGUGAGAUGUUGGGUUAAGUCCCGCAACGAGCGCAACCCUUGUCGUUAGUUACUACCAUUAAGUUGAGGACUCUAGCGAGACUGCCUGGGUUAACCAGGAGGAAGGUGGGGAUGACGUCAAAUCAUCAUGCCCCUUAUGUGUAGGGCUACACACGUGCUACAAUGGCUGGUACAGAGAGAUGCAAUACCGCGAGGUGGAGCCAAACUUAAAAACCAGUCUCAGUUCGGAUUGUAGGCUGAAACUCGCCUACAUGAAGCUGGAGUUACUAGUAAUCGCGAAUCAGAAUGUCGCGGUGAAUACGUUCCCGGGUCUUGUACACACCGCCCGUCACACCAUGAGAGUUGGCAAUACCCGAAGUCCGUGAGCUAACCGCAAGGAGGCAGCGGCCGAAGGUAGGGUCAGCGAUUGGGGUGAA